Canis lupus familiaris (dog) is the source of this 1178-nucleotide long non-coding RNA. RefSeq lists it as uncharacterized. The transcript is spliced from 3 exons. NCBI's taxonomy places the organism in Eukaryota, Metazoa, Chordata, Mammalia, Carnivora, Canidae. The record is from RefSeq and is a predicted model, not a curated record.
UAGACAAUUCAGCAUCAAAGAGCAAUGAUGGUACUCUGCAAAGUACCGGCUGUUCUGUGUAGACCAUAGUGUCAGAAGGAGAGGCCCUUGGGAGUCAUUUUUUCCAGCCCCUCCCUCAUUUUACAGAUUAGAGAUGCCAAGAGAGACUUAGGGACUUGUCUGAAUCCACAAGCUGUUUGAGAGGAGAUUUAAGAUCUCCUGACACCAUGGUCCUCCAAUAAGCUGGGCAGAAGGCAACAGCCUCGCAGGGGCCUGGCCGGCAGUGUCCUUUGCUGGGCCGAAGCAGCAAGCCAGCACCCCACUGCCAAAGGGUAUGACGAGCUCCCCUACUGUGGGUACCUUGCAGACUCUAGAACAGUGCAUGCACAAAAGUCAAGAAGAGAUCUUAUGUCUCCAGUGUCUCCUCCAUUCAACAUUCAGCCAAGAUUUCAAUCAAUACAUUACUCACGACAGGUUAUGAAAUAGGCCCAACAGAAGAUGCUAGAGGCUAACCUGAUAUACAGCAAUCAGUUCUCUGUUUAGCCACCACUGCACUGUUUAACGCCUGUUAAAAAUUAGAGAUAAUAUACUUAAUUAUAUUAGCCAUGAAAUUAUAUUAGCCAUGAAUUUUGGUUUUGUUUUACCAAGAAAGUAUAUUGAAACACAACUUGAACUGUAGCUUUAUGUAGAUUAACAACUGUUGGCAGCACCAACUGGUCAAAAUCAUUUCCUACUUUUAGAAAUUAUUUACCAUGAAACCAAAGGAUAUGAAAGCUCCUCAAAUGAAAGACACCACCUCAUUGAACCAGAAAAAAAAGCAUAGAUGUUACCACACAUUUAAAAGAGCUGGCCUUGCACAUGCUCACAUCCAUGCUGUUAAACCUGCACUUCGGGCACACUAUGCACACCCAGUCAUACUACAUACCACCCCAUGUGCAAGAGCUGCUGCUCCUCAGAUUGCCUACAUUUGCAUUUACUUCCAAAGGGGUUCUAAUUUAUCUGUAAGAAAACUAGGAGUUUUAUUCCCAGAAGCUCCCUUCAGUGGCUCUGUGGAAACUCACCCAGCUACUGAGGAAAAGGCCAACAUCGCCAGGUACCAUGUAACAGUCCCCCUCUAACACCUAGUCCUUCCUGACUAGCCUGCAUCAGUGCUUUCUGAUGGUGGGCCCCUCAACAAAGAAGAGAAAUAGCAUUUUCUA